This 28-nucleotide non-coding RNA is filed under the name Callithrix jacchus (white-tufted-ear marmoset). The record is from RNAcentral. Lineage: Eukaryota; Metazoa; Chordata; Mammalia; Primates; Cebidae. RNAcentral also lists the same sequence under 2 other names.
UCAAGAGCAUUGGAUUAGGGAAUCGUGA